CAGCCGCCGCGGGAAUACAGAGGGUGCGAGCGUUAAUCGGAUUUACUGGGCGUAAAGCGUGCGUAGGCGGCUAAUUGAGUCGGAUGUGAAAUCCCCGAGCUUAACUUGGGAAUUGCAUUCGAUACUGGUUAGCUAGAGUGUGGGAGAGGAUGGUAGAAUUCCAGGUGUAGCGGUGAAAUGCGUAGAGAUCUGGAGGAAUACCGAUGGCGAAGGCAGCCAUCUGGCCUAACACUGACGCUGAGGUACGAAAGCAUGGGGAGCAAACAGGAUUAGAUACCCCGGUAGUCCCUGUCUCUUAUAC
RNAcentral lists this ribosomal RNA (301 nucleotides) under uncultured bacterium. RNAcentral's name for it is "partial 16S ribosomal RNA". It matches the Rfam family "Bacterial small subunit ribosomal RNA", at positions 509 to 807 of the family's 1533-position model. The record is from RNAcentral.